AAUGAACGCUGGCGGAAUGCCUAAUACAUGCAAGUCGAGCGAAAGGAUGGGGGGAGUGCUCCUGUGACGUUGGCGGCGGGCGGGUGAGUAACACGUAGAUAACCGACCGAUGGGGCUGGGGUAACUUCGGGAAACCGAAUCUAGUACCGGAUAAUAUGUUGAAAGGGAUGGUUCAAUAGUGAAAGAGGGAUUUGCUGUGACUUAGAGAUGUAUCGGUGUCGGAUUAGCUAGUUGGUAGGGUAACGGCCUACCAAGCCAACGAUGUGUAGCCGACCUGAGAGGACGACCAGCCACACUGGGACUGAGACACGGCCCAGACUCCUCCGGGAGGCAGCAGUGGGGAAUUUUGGACAAUGUGCGCAAGCCUGAUCCAGCCAUUCCGCGUGCAAGACGAAGGCCUUCGGCUUGUAAACUGCUUUUGUACGGAACGAAAAGGCCCUGGCUAAUACCUGGGGCUCAUGACGGUACCGUAAGAGUAAGCACCGGCUAACUACGUG
RNAcentral lists this ribosomal RNA (497 nucleotides) under uncultured bacterium. RNAcentral describes it as "partial 16S ribosomal RNA". It matches the Rfam family "Bacterial small subunit ribosomal RNA", at positions 29 to 507 of the family's 1533-position model. The record is from RNAcentral.